ACUAAAGCAGACAACGGAUGUCUUGGCUGUUUGAGCCGAUGAAGGACGUUGCCGUCAACGAAAAACGUCGGGGAGGUGACAAGCAACCUGCGAUCCGGCGGUGUCCGAAUGGGGAAACCCCCUCUUUUGAGGAUUUUGUAUCGUUUGGUACAGGAGGGGAACCAUCUGAACUGAAACAUCUCAGUAAGAUGAGGAAAAGAAACCGCGUCUAACGCGGGAUUCCGUCAGUAGCGGUGAGCGAAAGCGGAAAAGCCUAAACCCAGAUUUUUCUGGGGGUUGCGGGGCAGAAAACAUGGGAUUGGUUAAGGAUAGAAGAAGACCUUGGAAUAGGUCGCCAAAGAAAGUGAAAGUCUUGUAUUCGAAAUCCAAAAUCACCCUAUUCUGUUCCCAAGUACCACGGGACAAGGCGUCUUGUGGGAAUCUAGCUAAUCACAGGCUAAGGCUAAAUACUUAAACAGACCGAUAGUGUACUAGUACCGUGAGGGAAAGAUGAAAAGUCCCUAUAAAAGGGAGUGAAAUAGAACCUGAAAUUGUCUGCUAACAAACAGAGAGAGUCCGGCUUCGCCGGAUAAUCUCGUGCCUAUUGAAGAAUGAACCGGUGAGUGUUUGAUGACCGCUUAGUCUUAGCCAGUUUCUGGCGGAGGCGUAGCGAAAGCGAGUCUUAACAGGGCGAUUUGGCGGUUUUCAGACGACCCGAAACCGGGUGAGCUAACCAUGAGCAGGGUGAACUUCGAUUAACAUCGUAAGGAAGGCCCGCACCAGUGUUUGGUUCAAAAAGCUUGGAUGACUUGUGGUUAGGGGUAAUAUGCUAAACGAACCCGGAGAUAGCUGGUUCUCCCCGAAAUAUAUAGAGGUAUAGCGUUCAUCAAAAUUGGCACUGGGGUAGAGCACUGAAUGGGCUUGGGGCGGCAACGUCUCAUGUUCAAUCAAACUCCGAAUACAGUGUCAAUCUGAUGGGCAGUCAGUCUUGCCGGGCUAAGCUGGUGAGACAAAAGGGAAACAGCCCAAACUCUCAUCUAAGGUCUCUAAUUUUACUUAAGUGUUUUAAGGAAGUAAGAUUGCUAAAACACCCAGGAGGUUGGCUUAGAAGCAGCCAUCCUUUAAAGAAAGCGUAACAGCUCACUGGACGAGGAAUCUUGCGCCGCAAAUUCAGGAGGCUAAAGUAAAUACCGAAGAUGGAGGUGCGAUUUAUCGCGCGGUAGGGGAGCGUCGAUAAAGCAGUGAAGCCAAGCUGUAAGGCGAGGUGGAGCUUUAUCGAGUGAGAAUGCCGGUAUGAGUAGCGAAAGGCCGAUGAGAAUUCGGCCCGCCGAAUGUCCAAGGUUUCCCACGUAAUGUUCGUCAGCGUGGGGUUAGUCGGCCCUAAGGCAAGCCCCGAUUUUAGAUCGGGGGUAGUCGAUGGUUGGCAGGUUUAUAUUCCUGCACCUUGGUUGUAUCGUUAGAUCACACUUUGUGUGAUGAUUCACUUUGUGAAUGCAGCUAGGGAGUGACGAGAUUUGAUAAGUAAGGUGUCUUAUUGAUUUGACAUUGAGGCAACGAGUCAGUUUUGGUUGGAAAAUCCGCCAGAGCGACGGCAAGUUGAGUCAAAAGUCUUUUGGCAACAGAGGGCGAUCUUACUGGAUUAAGUUUCCAAGAAAAGCUUCGUGGCGAGAGACAACCAAGUCCGUACCGAAAACCGACACAGGUGGACUGGACGAGAAGUCUAAGGCGAACGGGAGAAGGGAGUUUAAGGAACUCGGCAAAAAAUCUGGACGUAACAUUUGGAGAUGUCCUACCUUAUUAAUUAAGGUCACAGCAAAAGAGUGCUUACCGACUGUUUAACUAAAACACAGGUCUGUGCAAAAGCGAAAGCUUAAGUAUACGGGCUGAGGCCUGCCCAGUGCUGGAAGGUUAAGGGGAGCCACUUGUGGUGAACUGAAGCCCCAGUAAACGGCAGCAGUAACUAUGAAAAGUCGUAGUUGAGUGACCCAUUGUAUUUGGUCACCAUCGCACAAGCGAUGAAAAACCUAGCUAUAUGCUGGAAAAUCCGUACCGUAACAAACGGUUGAAGUAUCUGACGUUACCAUGUUAAUAUUUUAUUAUAUGGUAAAAAUACGAUCAGUGCGGACAAUCAGCAGGAAAGGUUUUAGUCGGGAAGAAAAAGGAUGGUUUUUAGCUGGAUUCGUCGAAGGUGAAGGAAGUUUUAAUGUUUCCUUACGAAGAAAGAAUGAUUAUAAAUUAGGUUGGCAAGUUGUUUUAAGUUUUAAUGUUUCUCAAAAAGAUAAAGAAAUAUUAGAAUUACUUAAAAAAGAAUUGAAUUGUGGAAUUAUUAAAGUAAGGAAGUUUGACAAUCUUCAUUCUCUUGAUAUUACGAAUCCCAAUGAAAUUAUCCAUAAAGUCAUACCAUAUUUCCAAAAAUUUUCUUUAUUUUCUUCUGGUAAAAGAAAGAAUUUUGAAAUUUUUUGUCAAAUUACUAAUUUGAUGAAAAAGGGGAGUCAUAGAACAACUAAUGGCUUGAAGAAAAUUCUUAAAUUAAGAGAAGAAUUGAAUAAAGGGAAGGCGAGAAAAAGGAAAUAUGAAUAUGAUGAUGUUUUUCCGAUUAGAAAAUCCUCAGAGACUAUAUGCUAGGAUCCC
This 2610-nucleotide ribosomal RNA is filed under the name Candidatus Shapirobacteria bacterium CG_4_9_14_3_um_filter_39_13. Its description in RNAcentral is "bacterial LSU rRNA". The stretch from base 5 to 2040 matches the Rfam family "Bacterial large subunit ribosomal RNA", at positions 15 to 2044 of the family's 2925-position model. Lineage: Bacteria; Candidatus Shapironibacteriota. The record is from RNAcentral.